GACGGAGGAUGCAAGUGUUAUCCGGAAUCACUGGGCGUAAAGCGUCUGUAGGUGGUUUUAAAAAAGUCUACUGUUAAAGCUUGAAGCUUAACUUCAAAAAUGCCGUAGAAACUUUUAAACUUGAGUAUGGUAGGGGUAGAGGGAAUUUCCAGUGGAGCGGUGAAAUGCGUAGAUCUUGGAAAGACCACCAAUGGCGAAGGCACUCUACUGGGCCAUUACUGACACUAAGAGACGAAAGCUAGGGGAGCAAAUGGG
Molecule: ribosomal RNA, 255 nt
Filed under: uncultured bacterium
Lineage: Bacteria
Description: partial 16S ribosomal RNA
Rfam family: Bacterial small subunit ribosomal RNA
Source: RNAcentral